Molecule: transfer RNA, 73 nt
Organism: Camelus ferus (Wild Bactrian camel)
Lineage: Eukaryota; Metazoa; Chordata; Mammalia; Artiodactyla; Camelidae
Rfam family: tRNA
About the family: Transfer RNA (tRNA) molecules are approximately 80 nucleotides in length. Their secondary structure includes four short double-helical elements and three loops (D, anti-codon, and T loops). Further hydrogen bonds mediate the characteristic L-shaped molecular structure. tRNAs have two regions of fundamental functional importance: the anti-codon, which is responsible for specific mRNA codon recognition, and the 3' end, to which the tRNAs corresponding amino acid is attached (by aminoacyl-tRNA synthetases). tRNAs cope with the degeneracy of the genetic code in two manners: having more than one tRNA (with a specific anti-codon) for a particular amino acid; and 'wobble' base-pairing, i.e. permitting non-standard base-pairing at the 3rd anti-codon position.
Source: Rfam
GAGGGUACAGCUCAAGUGGUAGAGCACAUGCUUAGCAUGCACAAGGUCCUGGGUUCAAUCCCCAGUACCUCCU